GAUGAACGCUGGCGGCGUGCCUAAUACAUGCAAGUCGAGCGAAGCGGGGACGGGUGAGUAACACGUGGCUAACCUCCUAUAAGACUGGGAUCACUUCGGGAAACCGGCGCUAAAUCGGAUGCUUAUAGAUGGAUCCGCGCUGCAUUAGCUAGUUGGUAAGGUAACGGCUUACCAAGGCUACGCUGCAUAGCCGCUCUGAGAGGGUGAUCGGCCACACUGGAACUGAGACACGGUCCAGACUCCUACGGGAGGCAGCAGUAGGGAAUCUUCGACAAUGGGCGAAAGCCUGACGGAGCAACGCCGCGGGAGUGAUGAAGGUCUUCGGAUCGUAAAGCACUGUUAGUAGGGAAGCGGUACCUAAUCAGAAAGCCACGGCUAACUACGUGCCAGCAGCCGCGGUAAUUC
This 405-nucleotide ribosomal RNA is filed under the name uncultured bacterium. Its description in RNAcentral is "partial 16S ribosomal RNA". It matches the Rfam family "Bacterial small subunit ribosomal RNA", at positions 28 to 526 of the family's 1533-position model. The record is from RNAcentral.